CUGAAUAAUGGAAAAAUUAAAUAUUUUGACCAAUUUAAACGCAGCAUUUUUGUUAAUCACAUAUUAAUAAUUAAAAUAAUUAAAUUAAAACUCAAAAAGAAAACAAAAAAACCUGCUCCGUCCCCUCCCAACACAAAAAAACCUGCUCAUUUUCUUCCAUCCACCCCAAAAUCAAAUCUACCAGAAAACUUACCAGUCCCACAGCCGCCAUGACCAUGUCUGUAUCACCUUCUUCCCCAGUUCUUCCUUUUUUCCCACCGUCUCCGAACAAAUCGAACCCGCAAUGAACCAUAUAAUCAUAGUCAUCCACGUAUCACAACAUAAUCUGCAAAAUAACAACACCAACACAUACACAUUUGAAUCCAUAUACAUAUCUACAGGAAAAUUUACUGGGCAACAAUACAGGAAGAGGAAAAGAGAUGGCCUUUGAAGGGAGCUAUAAACUAAACUUUAAGGGAAAAACACCAAUUUUUUUUCAAACAAAUCCUAGAUCUGAACAAUCCAAAAUUUACAGGCGAAAAUAAAGAAACUUCAAAACCAGAUUCAGUUUCACCAAUUCCACAUUAGUCGCAAUAAAUUCAAUAGCAACCCACACACUAAUUAUUCUUCCAGUACUACUUGUAAAAUCAUUGUCAGUUUAUUUCGGCAACGUAUUUUCAUUCAAUUUUUU
This 670-nucleotide long non-coding RNA is filed under the name Olea europaea subsp. europaea. Lineage: Eukaryota; Viridiplantae; Streptophyta; Magnoliopsida; Lamiales; Oleaceae. The record is from RNAcentral.